This 74-nucleotide transfer RNA is filed under the name Loxodonta africana (African savanna elephant). It matches the Rfam family "tRNA". From Rfam's summary of the family: Transfer RNA (tRNA) molecules are approximately 80 nucleotides in length. Their secondary structure includes four short double-helical elements and three loops (D, anti-codon, and T loops). The record is from Rfam by way of RNAcentral. Lineage: Eukaryota; Metazoa; Chordata; Mammalia; Proboscidea; Elephantidae.
ACCUGGGUGGUGCAAAUAGUUAACACACUCAGCUGCUAAUUGAAAGGUCGGUGGUUCGAGUCCACUCAGAGGUA